Molecule: ribosomal RNA, 439 nt
Filed under: uncultured bacterium
Lineage: Bacteria
Description: partial 16S ribosomal RNA
Rfam family: Bacterial small subunit ribosomal RNA
Source: RNAcentral
CUACGGGUGGCACCAGUGAGGAAUAUUGCACAAUGGGGGGAACCCUGAUGCAGCAACGCCGCGUGGAGGAUGACGCAUUUCGGUGUGUAAACUCCUUUUAUAUGUCAAGAAAAUGACGGUAGCAUAUGAAUAAGCACCGGCUAACUCCGUGCCAGCAGCCGCGAUAAUACGGAGGGUGCAAGCGUUACUCGGAACCACUGGGCGUAAAGGACGCGUAGGCGGGUUGGAAAGUCAGGUGUGAAAUCCUACAGCUUAACUGUAGAACUGCACUUGAAACUUCUAAUCUAGAGUAUGGGAGGGGGAGAUGGAAUUAGUGGUGUAGGGGUAAAAUCCGUAGAUAUCACUAGGAAUACCUAAAGCGAAGGCGAUCUCCUGGAACAUUACUGACGCUAAGGCGUGAAAGCGUGGGGAGCAAACAGGAUUAGAUACCCCGGUAGUC